CGGAUUGCAGUCUGCAACUCGACUGCAUGAAGCCGGAAUCGCUAGUAAUCGCGGAUCAGAAUGCCGCGGUGAAUACGUUCCCGGGUCUUGUACACACCGCCCGUCACACCAUGGGAGUCGGAAAUGCCCGAAGCCGGUGGCCUAACCGAUAAGGGAGGAGCCGUCGAAGGCAGGUCUGAUGACUGGGGUGAAGUCGUAACAAGGUAUC
Molecule: ribosomal RNA, 208 nt
Filed under: uncultured bacterium
Lineage: Bacteria
Description: partial 16S ribosomal RNA
Rfam family: Bacterial small subunit ribosomal RNA
Source: RNAcentral